UGAUGAUCGACUCGGCUUUUGAGGGUCAGCGCAUUGCCGCGAUCCGGACUGAGGAGGGCGGUCUGACCCUCGUGCGCAACCACUUCAAGCACGUUCCAAGCGCCAUCGUUGUAAACCCUGACCGCGCGGAGGAACUCUGGCUUACCGACUCACGUUUCGAGGAUAUCUCCGGGCCGGCAAUCGUUAUCAGUGACGAAUUCAACGCGCGUCCUCAGAUCAAUCUGGACAAUGUGGU
Molecule: ribosomal RNA, 235 nt
Filed under: uncultured eukaryote
Lineage: Eukaryota
Description: partial small subunit ribosomal RNA
Source: RNAcentral